Molecule: long non-coding RNA, 469 nt
Organism: Cololabis saira (Pacific saury)
Lineage: Eukaryota; Metazoa; Chordata; Actinopteri; Beloniformes; Belonidae
Exons: 4
Source: RefSeq, a predicted model, not a curated record
UGACACUGACUACACCCGGAGAUCCACAUCAUUUACUGAUCUGACUUUGGUCAACUUUGUUCUCUUUGUGAGUCAUUUUGGGCUCUAACAGUCACUCUAUUGAAAGGAUGAGGGGCCUUGCAAUUUUUCUGGGAUUGGCCCUAGUCAUUCUCCUGGCUGAACCCGGAGAGAGUAGAUUUCCACCAAGACUUAUUCCACACUGGAUGUGGAGCAAGUUUGAUAACCAAGCCGGAGGGAAUAAAAUGGGAGUUGGCAUGAUACCAGGUCCAGGGGCGGGGCUUCUGCAGGGGCGGUACUUCCCUGGCCCGGGGCCCAAUGGGGCCCGCCGCUGAGGCAGCAGGCCCAGAUUUAUUUUAUUUUUAUUUUUUGUGACACCACUUGGUUCAUAUUAGGUAUAAAGAAUUGUAUAAUAUGUUGUGCUGAGAUUUUCACACUCUCUGUUAACAUUAAAACAAAAAUUGCAAGUGAA